AUACGGAGGGUGCAAGCGUUAUCCGGAAUCAUUGGGUUUAAAGGGUCCGUAGGCGGACUAUUAAGACAGAGGUGAAAUCCCACAGCUCAACUGUGGAACUGCCUUUGAUACUGGUAGUCUUGAGUUAUAUGGAAGUAGAUAGAAUGUGUAGUGUAGCGGUGAAAUGCAUAGAUAUUACACAGAAUACCGAUUGCGAAGGCAGUCUACUACGUAUAUACUGACGCUAAGGGACGAAAGCGUGGGGAGCGAACAGGAUUAGAAACCCCGGUAGUCC
RNAcentral lists this ribosomal RNA (274 nucleotides) under uncultured bacterium. RNAcentral describes it as "partial 16S ribosomal RNA". It matches the Rfam family "Bacterial small subunit ribosomal RNA", at positions 523 to 796 of the family's 1533-position model. The record is from RNAcentral.